RNAcentral lists this ribosomal RNA (803 nucleotides) under uncultured bacterium. RNAcentral describes it as "bacterial SSU rRNA". It matches the Rfam family "Bacterial small subunit ribosomal RNA", at positions 533 to 1337 of the family's 1533-position model. The record is from RNAcentral.
CCCGAGCGUUGUCCGGAUUUAUUGGGCGUAAAGCGAGCGCAGGCGGUUAGAUAAGUCUGAAGUUAAAGGCUGUGGCUUAACCAUAGUACGCUUNGGAAACUGUUUAACUUGAGUGCAGAAGGGGAGAGUGGAAUUCCAUGUGUAGCGGUGAAAUGCGUAGAUAUAUGGAGGAACACCGGUGGCGAAAGCGGCUCUCUGGUCUGUAACUGACGCUGAGGCUCGAAAGCGUGGGGAGCGAACAGGAUUAGAUACCCUGGUAGUCCACGCCGUAAACGAUGAGUGCUAGGUGUUAGGCCCUUUCCGGGGCUUAGUGCCGCAGCUAACGCAUUAAGCACUCCGCCUGGGGAGUACGACCGCAAGGUUGAAACUCAAAGGAAUUGACGGGGGCCCGCACAAGCGGUGGAGCAUGUGGUUUAAUUCGAAGCAACGCGAAGAACCUUACCAGGUCUUGACAUCCCGAUGCCCGCUCUAGAGAUAGAGUUUUACUUCGGUACAUCGGUGACAGGUGGUGCAUGGUUGUCGUCAGCUCGUGUCGUGAGAUGUUGGGUUAAGUCCCGCAACGAGCGCAACCCUUAUUGUUAGUUGCCAUCAUUCAGUUGGGCACUCUAGCGAGACUGCCGGUAAUAAACCGGAGGAAGGUGGGGAUGACGUCAAAUCAUCAUGCCCCUUAUGACCUGGGCUACACACGUGCUACAAUGGCUGGUACAACGAGUCGCAAGUCGGUGACGGCAAGCUAAUCUCUUAAAGCCAGUCUCAGUUCGGAUUGUAGGCUGCAACUCGCCUACAUGAAGUCGGAAUCGCUA